This 497-nucleotide ribosomal RNA is filed under the name uncultured bacterium. RNAcentral describes it as "partial 16S ribosomal RNA". It matches the Rfam family "Bacterial small subunit ribosomal RNA", at positions 28 to 507 of the family's 1533-position model. The record is from RNAcentral.
GAUGAACGCUGGCGGCGUGCCUAAUACAUGCAAGUCGAGCGAACAGACGAGGAGCUUGCUCCUCUGACGUUAGCGGCGGACGGGUGAGUAACACGUGGAUAACCUACCUAUAAGACUGGGAUAACUUCGGGAAACCGGAGCUAAUACCGGAGAAUAUAUUGAACCGCAUGGUUCAAUAGUGAAAGACGGCUUUGCUGUCACUUAUAGAUGGAUCCGCGCUGCAUUAGCUAGUUGGUAAGGUAACGGCUUACCAAGGCAACGAUGCGUAGCCGACCUGAGAGGGUGAUCGGCCACACUGGAGCUGAGACACGGUCCAGACUCCUACGGGAGGCAGCAGUAGGGAAUCUUCCGCAAUGGGCGAAAGCCUGACGGAACGACGCCGCGUGAGUGAUGAAGGUCUUCGGAUCGUAAAACUCUGUUAUUAGGGAAGAACAAAUGUGUAAGUAACUAUGCACGUUUUGACGGUACCUAAUCAGAAAGCCACGGCUAACUACGUG